GACGAACGCUGGCGGCGUGCUUAACACAUGCAAGUCGAGCGGUAAGGCCCUUUCGGGGUACGACGAGCGGCGAACGGGUGGAGUAACACGUGGGUGACCUCGCCCUCCAGCUCUGGGAGUAAGCCUCGGGAAACCGGGGUACUAAUACCGGAUAUGACUCCAUGACGCAUGUUGUGGGGUGGAAAGCCUUGUGCGGCUGAGGAUGGGCCCGGCGGCCUAUCAGCUUGUUGGUGGGGUGAUGGCCUACCAAGGCGACGACGGGUAGCCGGCCUGAGAGGGCGACCGGCCACACUGGGACUGAGACACGGCCCAGACUCCUACGGGAGGCAGCAGUGGGGAAUCUUGCGCAAUGGGCGAAAGCCUGACGCAGCGACGCCGCGUGAGGGAUGACGGCC
This 395-nucleotide ribosomal RNA is filed under the name uncultured bacterium. RNAcentral describes it as "bacterial SSU rRNA". It matches the Rfam family "Bacterial small subunit ribosomal RNA", at positions 28 to 416 of the family's 1533-position model. The record is from RNAcentral.